GAUCCGGCCGUGGUACGGGAGCGCCCGGUUUGCCCCCGCCGGAUCCGGCACCUGUAUGUACAAAACGCGGUGUGAAUGCAGCCUAAUUUGGUUUGCUGUGAGGUUGUGGCACAGCGGUUGACCCCUGGUGGGCAGUCAAGCAUAUAGUCAAGCACAGAUACCCUGCACAACAUAAAUAUAAAAACCUAAAAUGAGUAACUAAAAUAUGAUUAAACCACUGUCCCUUUAAAAAGGAAAUGUAUGUGACUUUGGUGUUCUCAGUAUUUACAAGAGACCCAAUGAGCAGGUCUCACCUCUUCUGGUGCACAGCCCGAACACUACAUCAUCCCCGCAGCAGUAGGCGACGAAAGUGUUCUGCUAGUGCCUAGAUACAAAUCAAGAGGUCUUGAUCUCAGUGCUAGGUAUGGACUCUAUUAAAGCUGUCCUUAGCAGAUAGAACAAGGAACCAAAAAAAAAAAAAAGCCACACAGACUAUAGAGCUGCUUACAUGCGGAUUAACAUUUCUAGUGUCAGCGGAGAUGGCCAUAGAUCAGGCAUUUCUACACUGUAGGAUUACAGGCACAGCCAGAGCUCUCAGGCUUGACGUAAGGAUAUAUAACAAAGCUAAAAUAGAUAAAGACACACGGGCAUUAUAUAAAAGGGGUUAAAAAAUAAAAAUAAAAUAAUAUAAUAAUAUCACAGUUUUAAAUAAAAAAAAAAAAUUUCACAUAUUUCCCAGAUCAACGAGUGCACAGGAUAUAGUAUACAAAGAGGCAUUUAACAUGGAUGAUGUGAAAAAGCCGUAUCUAGAAAUCAUAAGCAUUAAAAGAGGACCUGUCAGCUUUGCAGGUAUGUCCGUUCUGGUAAAACCUUGCUGCUCCUUAAAGGAGAUAUCUAGUGAAAAUUAAGGUAUCCGCUAUCCACAGGAUAGGGGAUAAGCAGCUGAUUGCGGGGGUUGGCCCCCCAUGAUCUCAGGACAGGACACAGCGCUGCCUUAACUUCUAUGGAAGCGCUGAAAAUACAGUACAGCACUUGGACAUCCUCCAUUCCCGGUAGACAACACGCGCUUCUCAAUGAGAGAGCCAGCGGGGUUCUGCCCUGGAGUUCGCGGGGUGGGGGGUGGUCCAGCGAUCGGACCCAACGCGAUCAGCUACUUAUCCCCUAUACCAGUGGUCUCCAACCUGCGGACCUCCAGAUGUUGCAAAACUACAACUCUCAGCAUGCCCGGACAGCCGUUGGCUGUCCGGGCAUGCUGGGAGUUGUAGUUUUGCAACAUCUGGAGGUCUACAGGUUGAAGACCACUGCCCUAUACUGUGGAUAAGUUAAUUUUCGCCAGAGUUCUCCUUUAAUACUGCGCUGCUCCUAUGUUACUCUUCUUUGGAAGCAUAGGAAUGAAAUACAAUGGGGGAGAUUUAUCAAAGCCUGUCCAGAGGAAGAGUGGCCCAGUUGCCCAUAGCAACCAAUCAGCUCUCGUUUCAUUUUUUUAACAAGGCCUCUGCAAAAUGAAAGAAGCAAUCUGAUUGGUUGCUAUGGGCAACUUUUCCUCUAGACAGGUUUUGAUAAAUCUCCCCCAAAUGCGUGGGACCGUCUCAGACAGUGUAGAUCGGUGGUCUCCAACUGGUGGCUCUCCAGCUGUUGCAAAACUACAACUCUCAGCAUGCCCUGACAGCCAAUGGCUGUAAGGCAAGCUGGGAGUUGUAGUUUUGCGACAGCUGAAGCGGUGUAGGUUAGAUAACACAGGUAUAGAUACACAUCUUGUUGACAAUACUAAAAAUAAAUUGACUAUUGGGUUUAAAAUUUCCAGGAGGAAUAACAGAGGGAAGAAAACAUGCUCCUGAUUUGUUAUUUUAUGGAAAAUACAAGCCUUUACUAAAACAUACAUGUCAGGAUGGGUCAUCUUUCAUUAUUGUCUUGCUCAUAAGAUGCAAGUAUUCUUCUGGGAAGAAGAUGAAGACAUAAAGAUGGAGGAAGAUAAAGACAUAGGGGGAGAUUUAUCAAAACCUGUGCAGAGGAAAACUUGCCCAGUUGCCCAUAGCAACCAAUCAGCUUGCUGCUUUCAUUUUUAUGAAGGCUUGUGAAAAAUGAAAGAAGCGAGCUGAUUGGUUGCUAUGGGCAACUGGGCAAGUUUCCCUCUGCACAGGUUUUGAUAAAUCUCCCUCAUAAAUCCUGGCUGUGGUGGGUUUACCAAGGUUCACCACGAAAAAAGAAAAAAAGGGUUCAGAAUCAAUGUCCUCUGUAGAGACUUGUGUAAUAGGCGUCCAAGGGGACUGUAACACAUGAAGAGUCCAGAAGCUUUGAAGGCAUUUGCUAAAGUGAAUGAAGGGCCGGCUGCUUGCACUCUUCCCUAUGCAAAAACACCCGUGGCUUUCUGGAGCAGUGGGAUCUGCAGGAUGGAAAAAAAAGAAAAUAAAAAAUUAGUAUAGAACAACACGAUGUAGAAACAACCAGAUGAACCUUCAUACUUUACAGAUUGCAGCAUGCACACAGAUCUCCAGUGCACUCACCUUAGUCAGAUCUACUCCAGUGAGAGCCUGAACCGAAACAGGAACUUCAGCCAACAGACGAUUCAUUUCCCCAGUUAUUUUACUGUUCUCUCCACUGAGAAUGACAAUUUCAUCCACUUUGGCCAACGGAGCAGACACUUUGGCAGCAAUCUGUGAAGAUAGAAUACACAAGUUAGAAAGAAUGACAACAAAUACACAGAAUGAGCCACCAUAAGAAUAAAAAUCUCAAAUUCCCGAAGCUAAGCGAUAGGUUCAAGAACCAAGUUCCUCAUGGAUAUCCUGAGAUUCCAAGAGCUUUCUUACUACAAAAGACCAUUCUGACAUUUUUGGAAGGGUCACAACACAUUUCAUGAUGGCAGAAAACCAUAUCCUGUAUAGUAUACACUUAUAAUAAACACAAUUAAUUAAAUCCAAGACUUGUCUGGUUCUC
Molecule: long non-coding RNA, 2913 nt
Organism: Hyla sarda
Lineage: Eukaryota; Metazoa; Chordata; Amphibia; Anura; Hylidae
Exons: 3
Source: RefSeq, a predicted model, not a curated record